AAGUCCAAGAACCAUAUGAUGUACAGCCAGUCCUGGAAAUGACAUAGAAAUACAUCAAGAAAUGCCCGUCACAAAGAUACAGAUGUAAGAGAAUGGAUCCCAUGUUUCUCAGGAACAGGUGCUUUGCCAAAAAGCAUGACAAGAAGGGCCCGAAGCGGAUGCCCACCAACACCACCAAGGCCAUGAGUACACAUGCUAACCUCCCCGAAAGCCCAGGGAGGUCAAACCCACGAUCCCAAAGGGCAUCAGCCAUGAGCUUGAUUGACUUGCUUACAUCGCCCACCCCAAGUUUGGAAGGCAUCCUUGUGCCUGCGUCUCCAGAGGUCUCAGGCUCUGCUUGCCAGAAGCCAAGGCCAAGGCUCAGUCAAACCAAGGCCCAGGCUGUGGCUGUGGCUAUGUCUCUAGCUCCAGCUCCAGUUCCGGUUCCAGUUCAGGGUCCCAAAGGUUCCCAGUCCCCCAGAAGGUUCCUGAG
Molecule: long non-coding RNA, 472 nt
Filed under: Homo sapiens (human)
Lineage: Eukaryota; Metazoa; Chordata; Mammalia; Primates; Hominidae
Description: non-protein coding lnc-MBD2-5:1
Source: RNAcentral